RNAcentral lists this ribosomal RNA (365 nucleotides) under uncultured Anaerolineaceae bacterium. RNAcentral describes it as "bacterial SSU rRNA". It matches the Rfam family "Bacterial small subunit ribosomal RNA", at positions 1004 to 1382 of the family's 1533-position model. The record is from RNAcentral. Lineage: Bacteria; Bacillati; Chloroflexota; Anaerolineae; Anaerolineales; Anaerolineaceae.
AAACUGGACCGACCCUUCGGGGAGCUUGUACAGGUGCUGCAUGGCUGUCGUCAGCUCGUGUCGUGAGAUGUUCGGUUAAGUCCGCUAACGAGCGCAACCCUCGCUGUGUGUUACAAGUGUCACACGGAACUGCCGGUCAUAAACCGGAGGAAGGUGGGGAUGACGUCAAGUCAGCAUGGCCUUUAUAUCCUGGGCUACACACACGCUACAAUGGGAAGGGACAAUAGGUUGCGAAGCCGCGAGGCGGAGCCAAUCCAGCAAAACUUCCCUCAGUUCAGAUUGCAGGCUGCAACUCGCCUGCAUGAAGUUGGAGUUGCUAGUAAACGCAGGUCAGCCAUACUGCGUUGAAUACGUUCCCGGGGCUU